This 116-nucleotide transfer-messenger RNA is filed under the name Variovorax sp. Its description in RNAcentral is "partial transfer-messenger RNA". It matches the Rfam family "transfer-messenger RNA", at positions 1 to 121 of the family's 374-position model. Rfam says of the family: Bacterial tmRNA, also known as 10Sa RNA or SsrA, is named for its dual tRNA and mRNA-like properties. Its role is to liberate the mRNA from a stalled ribosome. Lineage: Bacteria; Pseudomonadati; Pseudomonadota; Betaproteobacteria; Burkholderiales; Comamonadaceae. The record is from RNAcentral.
GGGGCUGCACUGGUUUCGACGCGGGUUCGGAAUCGCAGCGGGGCAUGUCGAGCUGAAUGCGCUCGUAAAACAGAUUCAAACAAACUAACUGCAAACGACGAACGUUUCGCACUCGC